RNAcentral lists this ribosomal RNA (314 nucleotides) under uncultured bacterium. RNAcentral describes it as "bacterial SSU rRNA". It matches the Rfam family "Bacterial small subunit ribosomal RNA", at positions 30 to 334 of the family's 1533-position model. The record is from RNAcentral.
AUUGAACGCUGGCGGCAGGCUUAACACAUGCAAGUCGAGCGGUAGCAUGGUGAUACUUCGGUAUAACUGAUGACAAGCGGCGGAACGGGUGAGUAAUGCAUAGAUAGCUAUUUAUUAGGAGGGGGAUAGCCUUAGGAAACUGAGAGUAAUACCGCGUAAGCUCUACGGAGGAAAGGGUGCCUACGAAAGUAGGUGCCGCUGAUAAGUGCGACUAUGUUCCAUUAGCUAGUUGGAAAGGUAAAGGCUUCCCAAGGCGAUGAUGGAUAGCUGGCCUGAGAGGGUGUACAGCCACACUGGGACUGAGAACGGCCCAG